This 397-nucleotide long non-coding RNA is filed under the name Heterocephalus glaber (naked mole-rat). RNAcentral's name for it is "lncRNA (ENSHGLG00000039742.1)". The record is from RNAcentral. Lineage: Eukaryota; Metazoa; Chordata; Mammalia; Rodentia; Bathyergidae.
UCCAAUCCUUGUGGACCUAUCAAACUUUCACCACCAAAAAAAAAAAAAAAAUGGAUGCCCUGAUUUACACUCCUCAUUUUUUAUCUUGUCCUUUUUGCCUGUUUUAUGGAAACACUCCUACUACAUCUGUUUCAUCUAUGGAUACUCAGCGGAACAAUCUGCAAACGCUGUUUCUUAGCAACCUAAUCACGCCACCUGAUCUCAGACCAUCUUUGAACCAUUGGAGCUACAUUUAGCUUCAGUGUUGCUUCCCAAAAACCCAAGGAAGAACAUUUAAAACUUCAUGACAUGAACAGGGUGCAAAGAUUACCUUUCUUUCAGUUGCAGCAUGAAAUUCAAGUUUACUGAGGGUCCUGAUAAUGAAAGAAAGCACUCUUAGAAAGAUAAAUCCAAAGGC